This 328-nucleotide ribosomal RNA is filed under the name uncultured eukaryote. Its description in RNAcentral is "partial 18S ribosomal RNA". It matches the Rfam family "Eukaryotic small subunit ribosomal RNA", at positions 1470 to 1796 of the family's 1831-position model. The record is from RNAcentral.
CCCUUAGAUGUCCUGGGCCGCACGCGCGUUACACUGAUGCAUUCAACGAGCUUAUAACCUUGGCCGAGAGGCCUGGGCAAUCUUGUUAACGUGCAUCGUGAUAGGGAUAGAUUAUUGAAAUUAUUAAUCUUGGACGAGGAAUUCCUAGUAAACGCAGAUCAUCAAUCUGCAUUGAUUACGUCCCUGCCCUUUGUACACACCGCCCGUCGCACCUACCGAUUGGAUGGUCCGGUGAAGCCUCGGGAUUGUGGUUCUUGCCGCUUUAUUGUGGCGUGACCGCGAGAACUUGUCUAAACCUUAUCAUCUAGAGGAAGGUGAAGUCGUAACA